AUGCAAGGAUGUCUUAGGAGCAUGGAAGUGUUCGUCUUUAGGUUAGUGGGGUCUUCUGGAGGUCAAACGGGUGAAACGGCACAAAUAAGCCAUAUUUGGGCCAAAUCGGUGUGUUAUAGCCCAUAGUUUUGGGGGUGUGUCUGGGGUAUGAGCUUGUUUUGGAUAAAACAUUAAUGGAGCAUGCCAAGAUAGUUGAAAAGUGAGGGAAUGUGAGCCACUAGGGUCGGCGGGG
Molecule: long non-coding RNA, 232 nt
Filed under: Capsicum annuum
Lineage: Eukaryota; Viridiplantae; Streptophyta; Magnoliopsida; Solanales; Solanaceae
Description: long non-coding RNA (CANN_LNC009370)
Source: RNAcentral